Molecule: long non-coding RNA, 439 nt
Organism: Mya arenaria
Lineage: Eukaryota; Metazoa; Mollusca; Bivalvia; Myida; Myidae
Exons: 3
Source: RefSeq, a predicted model, not a curated record
UUUUGGUUUAAUUGCUUUUAUACUUUUGAUCGUUUUUUUUCGAAGGAGGAUAAAUAAGAAAAAGGCACAUCGAAAUGCCAAUCCCGAACCAUCGACACCAAUAGCAGUAUCCAACACCAACACCAACGGAAUUCCAAAUCCAGAUUACGCAUCAUCAAUUUCAACAUACGUUUUUGGUAGACUUGGCCGUGGCGCAAGCUAAAGGACCAACUUCAUUCUUAUCCGAAACAGCAACAUUUUCAGAUGGCUAUAUAAAAGUAAUGGACUUAUUUAAAUGCUAGUAGGGUAAUAUGUGGUGUCAACAUUGUUCAGAUGGUAUAGUUAUUGUGUUAUGACCUACUUUAAUAUGUCGGCGUACAUCAGUGCAGGUCAGUCACACUACUCAGCUUAUGUCGGUGAAAUUGAAAACAAAGUGUGUGUGUGUGUGUGUAUGUGUGUG